Long non-coding RNA from Setaria italica (foxtail millet), 2845 nucleotides. RefSeq lists it as uncharacterized. The transcript has 3 exons. Lineage: Eukaryota; Viridiplantae; Streptophyta; Magnoliopsida; Poales; Poaceae. The record is from RefSeq and is a predicted model, not a curated record.
UCAAAGCCAACCUAGCUCCAUCCACUGCAGAUUUGGAGAUGCCGACGGAUGAUCUACAAGCUCAUCCAGCUAUCAUCACAAGCGAUGCAAGGACGGAGGAGAUCGAGAUGGCUUCGAGUAUGACCACGACGGAGCUCCUUCCGAUGGCGUGUCAGCACUUGUCAGCAUGACGUCACUCGCAGGUACAGUUGAUGCAGCCUAAUGCGGCAGUAAUCCUCCCAGAUCUUGCUUGAGAGAUUCAUCUUCAAACUGGAUUCAAUACGACGCACAGAGGUGUUGGGCUCGAGGGUAGCCAGGAGGAGACAGAUCCAUUGGUUCUCGACCUUAUUCAAAGGCGCAUUAAUCAGGAGAUCCAGCAAGAUCCGCCAGCUUACAACAUCACAGCCACCUCAGCACAAGGAGAUCGAGUUAUGGAGAAAGAGAAGAGGAGAUUCACUCAAGCAGAGAAAGGGAAGGGAAUCAAUUCAACUACCACACAAGGACAGUAAUCACAUCCAUUCAAGACCAAAGGGGGAAGCAGCUCAACGAUGCCCAAGAAAAUCCAGCAGGGUGAAUGCUCCACCUCUAGGAGGAGGAUGAGCUUUCAAUCCCCAUCUUUUCAAGUACAUCCUGGACAGAGCCCUCCCAUGGAUCCACCACCAAGAAUUCAACAUGAUGAUGCACAAUGGACAGAUCAAAUUGAUGAGCAUGGUUAUUAGAUAGUCAAACUGGCCUACUGGUGGUGCCAGACCAACAAACAUUCAAGAGAGAAUUCACUGCCACACCAACUGAAAAAGGAUGAGCAGAGACGACAGUCAUACUUGGCACACGUCAGGGGCAAAUGUCUUAAUUAUUUCUCCACCGAGCACAAGGUUGCAGAUUGUAGGAGCCGACUCAAAUGCUGGUGAUGUCUUUAGUUGGGCACAAGGAGCACCGCUGUCCCUCCAGGAGGACUCCCUUUAAGAGGCCGGCUAUGGAGCUGCAUCCACAGCUUCACACUCCCCCUCAUAGUUCUGCUCCCCCUUUUGGCGGAGCUCCAGCUGGGGGUUCGACCGUGCGGAUGGUCGAAUGCUCCUACCUCCAGGUGUCUAAGGGUAAGAUAGUGAAAGAGGACAUGGCGACGUACCCAAGGGACUCCCAUGCACGAUCGGAGUUCGCGACCUGCGCGAUCUUCGCGACGGGGUCGAUCAAGCGCAAGAGGGAGUCCCUGAUCGGCAAGACAGCCGUUUGCUAGCUCAACGACAACAGCCAUGACUCUGUGCCCCACCACGUCAUCGACGCUCUGGAGGAGAAACUACACAUCUCAUGCCAAGAGGUGAAGGUCAUGAAGCAUUUUUCGGAGCAGCACCUCGUUUUAUUCUCUGACCGCAGGGCCUGCAAUCGAGUCCUUCACCACCAAGGCAUUUGGAGCAGGGGAUGUGUCUUCAACUUCGAGCAGUGGAUGGAGCAUUGUGGCACCAUGGAGAACAAGCUUGAGUUCCGGGUGAGGCUGCGCAUCGAGGUGUGCCCAUGCACACCUGGUCGGAGGAGGUGGUGGCCAAGAUCAUCGAACAACACUGCGCCAUCCACUACAUCGAGAGGCAUUCAUGUGGGCGUGGUCCUCCAACCCAAGCAAGAUCCCCAGAAAGGUAUUGCUCACCGUCACCAACCCAGACCAGGAGAUAGCCGACAAUGACAACUUCGUGCAACACUCUGACCCGCCACAAGACAUUAAGGGCGCGUACGACUACAAGCUGCACCUUCACCUCGAUGUGGUGGAGGGCCUUGCCUUCCUUCACGGGCGAGGUGGUGGCGGCGGGGGCCGCCCAAUAGGAAGCCACGCUGGGAGUUCCUGUGGAACUACGAUGUCGCGGACUCGCUGGGAGAGUGACGCAGCGGGCAGCACCACGACAACCACACCGGCCGCGACUACCGCCCUCGCCGAGACCGGGACAAUCACGACGACGACACCUUCCACCAUGGCACACGACAUCACCGCAGCCAGUCCUCCUGGGGGCGGGCAACACGUUGCCAUGGCACGGUGGAAGACUGCUACAGCUCCAGGCGUCACCGGGCAGGCAACCAGAACUACCGCAAUAGAGACUUCACCCAGGAGACUCCUCACCAGCAGAAGAUAACAGGCAAGCAGACGUUCUGGAGGAAGAAGAGCAACAAGCGAGUCUCCUUCCUUCGCCAAUUCCCUGGUGCAGAUCCUAGGGCACCCAUCUAAGGAGAGUCGCAUUCAGGAGAUGCUGGAGUCGGCUGCCGGUUGGACCCCCGUCGCCUCCCCACGCGGCCCUGGAGGGGACAUGGAGCAGCCUGAUGAUGGCACUACCACAGAAGCACUGAAGAAGACAACGCCCAUCCACACGAACCUGCAGCACCUCCCAAAGCCGUUGACCGGCCUGAAGAUGAGGCGAUCCAGACCUUGGUGGAGCACGGGAACCAGCCCAAGAACAAGAAUGAAAGAAGAGCAAGAUUGCCCCAGCACCAGCAGCAGGGGUGGACGCCCAGACGGCCUAAUGGACCAGAGCCUCAAGAUGUGGGUCAUUUUUACUUUCAGUAAUGUUAGGCAGACUCUAGAUCUCGAUCUUGAAUUCGAACUCAUUCUGGUUUGUAAUAGUAAUUGGGUCGGCAAUUUGGCCUAGUGGCUUCAGCGGUGCUUUGUUCCGGGUCGAUGGCCCAGCACCAGUGUCCAUGAAGCUCAUCGCUGCGAUCUCACGCGAAUCGCCGCCCUCAGAGCGAACCAGGCUUUGUAUCUAGCCCUAGCGCCAAGCCUUGUAACCUACAGAAUGUUGCUCCCCAGGGGUUUAAUGUUAGUUGUGUACUUCAUCUCCAUGUCACAAAAAGAUUGUAAUAUCCUGUGUUGGAAUGUACAUAGUCUGAA